Molecule: long non-coding RNA, 856 nt
Organism: Daphnia carinata
Lineage: Eukaryota; Metazoa; Arthropoda; Branchiopoda; Diplostraca; Daphniidae
Exons: 3
Source: RefSeq, a predicted model, not a curated record
UUUGAGAAAGACAUGUCGUAAUGAAGAAGUGUCCUAGUUCACGAUAACUGACGAUUUGUUUUAAAAAUUUGCCAACGUUUUUGUUAUUUCCAAGAAGAAAAGUUUUGCUGCUUUCUCGUGACACAAUUUCACUGCAUGAAAUGUUCCGUGAAAAGAUUGACAAAACACGACACACGCGAUCAGUGAACACACAAGAAAUCCCCGUUCUCUCACGGCUCACCCCGUUCACGUCCAUUUUGACACGAAAGCAGUUUCAAAUCCUGCGUAAAAGGCCAACUGUGCCAGCCUUGCAAAAGUUGGAGAAAAUUCGAUGAAACAUGUUUGUACAGACACGCCAUGUUGUCAACAAAACCCAAAGCUGCAACCGAGACACUACGUUAGAAAAUCAAUCCCGGCUACGACUUACGUGUAUUUCGCAAAUCCGGCUUGCUUUCUUCUCAUUUCCUGUUGACGUUGCACCGGAAAGUCUAGCCGUCAGAGGAAAUCAAUAGUUGUAAUGGAAAUUCGACGACAUGGACGUUGCCUCUUGCAAAAACCAGCCAGUGGAAAUAACCUGCUCUAUUGGGUAACUUUUGAUUGCAAUCAGAGAACGGAUGCGAGGAGACGAUGCCACCCACAACACCCACGUCUUUUUAACAUUGUUUUUUUUUUUUUUUUUUUUUUUUUUUUUUUUUUUAUUUUAAGUAUAUUCUAUUGAUCUAAAAAUAAACCAAAAGCCAAGCUUCCCAAUAUCAAGGGACGUGUAUAGACGACGGAUGAGUUCGUCUUUUACAGGAAAUCAGUUUUGAUUCGACACUUCUGCUAGAGAGACAUGAUGAAACGAACUCUGAUACGAAAGAUCGUCCUUUUCUAUCUG